This 468-nucleotide ribosomal RNA is filed under the name uncultured bacterium. RNAcentral describes it as "partial 16S ribosomal RNA". It matches the Rfam family "Bacterial small subunit ribosomal RNA", at positions 28 to 507 of the family's 1533-position model. The record is from RNAcentral.
GACGAACGCUGGCGGCGUGCUUAACACAUGCAAGUCGAACGGAAAGGCCCUGCUUUUGUGGGGUGCUCGAGUGGCGAACGGGUGAGUAACACGUGAGUAACCUGCCCUUGACUUUGGGAUAACUUCAGGAAACUGGGGCUAAUACCGGAUAGGAGCUCCUGCUGCAUGGUGGGGGUUGGAAAGUUUCGGCGGUUGGGGAUGGACUCGCGGCUUAUCAGCUUGUUGGUGGGGUAGUGGCUUACCAAGGCUUUGAUGGGUAGCCGGCCUGAGAGGGUGACCGGCCACAUUGGGACUGAGAUACGGCCCAGACUCCUACGGGAGGCAGCAGUGGGGAAUAUUGCACAAUGGGCGGAAGCCUGAUGCAGCAACGCCGCGUGCGGGAUGACGGCCUUCGGGUUGUAAACCGCUUUCGCCUGUGACGAAGCGUGAGUGACGGUAAUGGGUAAAGAAGCACCGGCCAACUACGUG